UACAGAGGGUGCUAGCGUUGUUCGGAAUUACUGGGCGUAAAGGGCACGUAGGUUGCCUAUUAAGUUAGACGUGAAAGGCCUGGGCUUAACCUAGGAACGGCGUUUAAUACUGGUAGGCUAGAAGACGGGAGAGGGAAGUGGAAUUCCUAGUGUAGAGGUGAAAUUCGUAGAUAUUAGGAGGAACACCGGUGGCGAAGGCGGGUCUCUGGGCUGACACUGACGCUGAGGCGCGAAAGCCAGGGGAGCAAACGGG
This 253-nucleotide ribosomal RNA is filed under the name uncultured bacterium. Its description in RNAcentral is "partial 16S ribosomal RNA". It matches the Rfam family "Bacterial small subunit ribosomal RNA", at positions 524 to 776 of the family's 1533-position model. The record is from RNAcentral.